RNAcentral lists this ribosomal RNA (253 nucleotides) under uncultured bacterium. Its description in RNAcentral is "partial 16S ribosomal RNA". It matches the Rfam family "Bacterial small subunit ribosomal RNA", at positions 524 to 776 of the family's 1533-position model. The record is from RNAcentral.
UACGUAGGUGGCAAGCGUUGUCCGGAUUUACUGGGCGUAAAGAGCGCGCAGGCGGUCGUUCAAGUCGCGUGUGAAAGCCCCCGGCUCAACUGGGAGGGGUCUUCGGAUACCGGCGGGCUUGAGGUGAGCAGAGGUGAGCGGAAUUCUGGGUGUAGUGGUGAAAUGCGUAGAUAUCCAGAGGAACACCAGUGGCGAAGGCGGCUCACUGGGCUCCACCUGACGCUGAGGCGCGAAAGCGUGGGGAGCGAACCGG